AAUCUGUGUGACUGCGUACCUUUUGUAUAAUGGGUCAGCGACUUAUAUUCUGUAGCAAGGUUAACCGAAUAGGGGAGCCGAAGGGAAACCGAGUCUUAACUGGGCGUUAAGUUGCAGGGUAUAGACCCGAAACCCGGUGAUCUAGCCAUGGGCAGGUUGAAGGUUGGGUAACACUAACUGGAGGACCGAACCGACUAAUGUUGAAAAAUUAGCGGAUGACUUGUGGCUGGGGGUGAAAGGCCAAUCAAACCGGGAGAUAGCUGGUUCUCCCCGAAAGCUAUUUAGGUAGCGCCUCGUGAAUUCAUCUCCGGGGGUAGAGCACUGUUUCGGCAAGGGGGUCAUCCCGACUUACCAACCCGAUGCAAACUGCGAAUACCGGAGAAUGUUAUCACGGGAGACACACGGCGGGUGCUAACGUCCGUCGUGAAGAGGGAAACAACCCAGACCGCCAGCUAAGGUCCCAAAGUCAUGGUUAAGUGGGAAACGAUGUGGGAAGGCCCAGACAGCCAGGAUGUUGGCUUAGAAGCAGCCAUCAUUUAAAGAAAGCGUAAUAGCUCACUGGUCGAGUCGGCCUGCGCGGAAGAUGUAACGGGGCUAAACCAUGCACCGAAGCUGCGGCAGCGACGCUUAUGCGUUGUUGGGUAGGGGAGCGUUCUGUAAGCCUGCGAAGGUGUGCUGUGAGGCAUGCUGGAGGUAUCAGAAGUGCGAAUGCUGACAUAAGUAACGAUAAAGCGGGUGAAAAGCCCGCUCGCCGGAAGACCAAGGGUUCCUGUCCAACGUUAAUCGGGGCAGGGUGAGUCGACCCCUAAGGCGAGGCCGAAAGGCGUAGUCGAUGGGAAACAGGUUAAUAUUCCUGUACUUGGUGUUACUGCGAAGGGGGGACGGAGAAGGCUAUGUUGGCCGGGCGACGGUUGUCCCGGUUUAAGCGUGUAGGCUGGUUUUCCAGGCAAAUCCGGAAAAUCAAGGCUGAGGCGUGAUGACGAGGCACUACGGUGCUGAAGCAACAAAUGCCCUGCUUCCAGGAAAAGCCUCUAAGCAUCAGGUAACAUCAAAUCGUACCCCAAACCGACACAGGUGGUCAGGUAGAGAAUACCAAGGCGCUUGAGAGAACUCGGGUGAAGGAACUAGGCAAAAUGGUGCCGUAACUUCGGGAGAAGG
RNAcentral lists this ribosomal RNA (1158 nucleotides) under Escherichia coli. RNAcentral describes it as "partial 23S ribosomal RNA". It matches the Rfam family "Bacterial large subunit ribosomal RNA", at positions 586 to 1746 of the family's 2925-position model. The record is from RNAcentral. Lineage: Bacteria; Pseudomonadati; Pseudomonadota; Gammaproteobacteria; Enterobacterales; Enterobacteriaceae.